This 3351-nucleotide long non-coding RNA is filed under the name Ricinus communis (castor bean). RNAcentral's name for it is "long non-coding RNA (RCOM_LNC002322)". The record is from RNAcentral. Lineage: Eukaryota; Viridiplantae; Streptophyta; Magnoliopsida; Malpighiales; Euphorbiaceae.
AGAACAGAGCGGAGGAGCAUGUGCCGCUCUUGUUCCGUUGCCGGCAAAUAGCAAAGCAAAUCUGUCUUUAUUUCCUGUCAAUUGCAAAGCCAAAUUUCCAUGCCUUUGCAAUUUAUAUGAAAGGUCUUAAUACAUUUUUUUUUGUUAAUUCUUUAUGUUGUUUUUGUUUGUUUGCUUUUGAAUUCUGGAGGCCGAUCCAAUGGGUUCUUAUUUUCUUAUAAGAGCUCAAUUUCACCCGGCCAAGAGUUGAUUCAUUGGGGCAGCCUCAAGGUUUUACAUGUUUCUUUUUCACUCAUGUUUUAAUUCAGAGAAACUGCCCUAAAUUUCUUUCUUUCUUUCUUUAUUUUCCUUUUAGUGAUUGCUUAUGAUCAUUAGACGUUACUUUUGAAUUUAUUGGUUUUCUGGGUCAGAUUCCAAUUUCUCUAUUGCAACAAUUUGGGUUUGUUUUCUUGGAGAUGCAUAAGCCAAUUGUUAGCUUACACAGGAGGAGUUGGAUUGUUUUAGCUGAGAUGCAUUAGCUAAGUUCCCAUUGAAGAGUAUUAGAAGUUGAGCUCGGAUAAAAUAUAGAUCAUAAUUAUCGUUACUCAUUUUCAUAUUCUCUUAGUAUCACUCAAAAGUAUUUACUUUUUAUUAUAAAGUCUAUAAAAAUUCAUUUAUAAAAAAAUUAAUUUUUCUGGUUAAUAUUAUUAUUUCAACUAAUUUUUACUAAAACAAUCUUUAUAUAAUAUUUUAGUUUCAUUUUGGAAAAUAAAGAAUCCAUUACUGAGAAUCAAAAUGGACACUCACCUACGAGGAGGUUUGCUAAGCCACUCGCACUGGCCAGACAUAGAAACAGCCGCCCUCGCCAAACAAUGAGCAGUUUUCACAAACACCAGAUGUGCAUGACUAAGCUCUUGAAAAAAGAAAUUUGCAGUCAUCCAAAACAAGACCAAAAUCUGAAAAAUCAAUAUAAGAUCCAAAGAAACCAUUCACUGAUGAUUGACAAUCAGACUCAAAUCCCACAGAAUCAAAACCCAACUAAGAGUUUCUCUAAAACUCAUUACUUUCGCCAAUGCAGGAUUUGAGGGACCAGCAAAUAUACCAUUUUUAGCAGCCACAAAUUGACCAUUGGAGUCCCGAAUGAUAGAACCAAAGCUCAACAGUCGUUGUUGACGAGCAAAUACCGCAGCAUUAAAGUUGCAUUUGUACCAACCCAACGCUGGUUUAGUCCAACGUUUGCUUAUUAGCUACGUUGGCAAGCUGUUAUUGAGACACAAGAGAGUCACCCGAGCUUAUAACGCGUUGAAUGGUAAAAAAUCUCUGCUGCCAAACAAUUUGAUUUCAAUUGUUCCACAAGUUCCAAUUACACACUGUUCUGGAGACAUAUUAGCAAAGACUAAACUUAACCAUUUUCCCACAUUAAUCAAACUACUACAAAUAAAGCCCACACCAGAAAGCUGCCAAGCGUAAAGAACAAGUAACAGCCACAUGAAAAGUAGUUUCAUUGCAAAGACCACAAAACUUGGCAAACAACAUCCACUUCUAUCUUCCUCUUUAUAAGGUUGUCUUCUUAUCGGUAAACAGUCUCUAACAACUCGCCAUAAGAAACUCUUUAUCUUCGGAGGGACCUUCAUGGACCAAAGCUGCUUCCAGCUACAUGCAACCACAUUUGAACCCAUAUGAACCUGUUGAUUAGAAAGGCACUCAUGCCCACUCUUGACUGUAUAUCGACCUUUUUUUGUCAUGUCUCCAAACUCUGUCUUCAGUUCUCCUAUAACUUAGAGGUAGAGAUAAAAUAAGUUCUCUAUCACACUCAUCAAAGAGAUGCCCGACUAACUCUGAAUCCCAUUGAUAUUAACAUUUGCAUUAUCUCGAUCAGUCGUUACAUAGGCAUUAUUAGAAUCUGGCAGCCAAGAAUCUGCCCAAACUGAAAUCUUCUAACCAUCUGUUGAGUUGAUAUAACACUACGCCAUAUGAAGCUUGGGCUAUGACCCAAAGUGGCUUCUAAAACAAUAGUAGUUGGGAAAUAACGAGCCUUAUAGACUCGGGACAUAAGAAUAUAUGGCUCAUUAAGCAUUCUCCAAAUUUGUUUACCAAGGAAAGCAAUACUCACCUCGUGUAAGGUUCUGAAGCCCAGUCCUCCACAAGCUUUCUUCUCGCAGAGUCUUUGCGAACCCAACCAAGUUCCCCACUAGAAUGAGUUAAACAUCUUCUCAAUAUCUUUACACAACUCAAUAGUAAGUAAACAUAUGUUUAUAGCAUAAUUGGGAAUGGAUUGUGCAAGUCUUGAGAAGAAUCUCUUUGCUAGCUCUCAAGAGAAACCUUUUAUUCUAACUUUGCAUUCGCUUCCAAAUUUUAUCCUUAAUAGAUGAGGACAACGCAUUCUUCUUACGACCCACAAGCGACGGCAAAUCCAAGCAGUUGUGGUGCUCUUUUGUUUUCGGAACACCUAAAAUGCCACAAACACGUUCUCUAAAAUAAUUGAAAGUAGAUGUCUAAUGGAAGCUGCACUUUUUGCAACUUUACACCCAUGAAUGAUACUCCUCGCCUCCUGCCUUUUAAGAGUUGUCGAGAGCCCCUCCACACACAAGAUAAAGAGGUACGGUGAGAGCAGGCAACCUUGGCGCAAUCCUCUUUAAGGAAUAAUCGGACCCAAGAACCCUUGAUUAUGUAGAACAUGGUAUCUUACUGUUGAAAUAUACAUCCUGAUUAACUUCACCCAUUUUCCAUCAAAACCUAACUUUAACAUAAUAUUCUUUAGGAAAUGCCAUUCCACACGAUCAUAGGCUUUAGAGAUGUCAAUUUUUAAAGCCACCAGCCCUUCUUUCCCUUGCCUUUUCCUUUAAAGACCAUGCAUGACUUCAUAGGCCACCAUAAGUUUAUCGGAAAUCAUACGACCCGAGAGAAAAGCACUUUGGGAAUCUGAAAUCAAAUAGGGAAGAAUUCUCUUUAAACGAUUAACAAGCAUUUUAGAAAGAAUUUUAUAGAGCAUUACACAAUGAAAUUGGACAUAAAUCACCCAUUGUCUCAAUCCUUUUCUUCUUGAGAAUUAGCAUAAUUAAAAGUAUCAUUCAAGCCUUCCGCGAUAGAACAAUUCUGAACCAUUUGAAGAAUAGCCUUAGAAACAUUGUGUCCCACGAACCUCUAAUAAAAAGCUGGAUUCAUAGCAUCCAUACUGGAGAUUUUAUCAGAGUGCAUAUCAAAAGAACAUCCUUAACAUCAUUUGUCGAAAAUGGAGCAAGAAGCACCUGAUUAUGGUCAUCGGUUUACCACUUUCGUAACAUUAGGAGUAAUAUAGUCAGGAUUAAUCCCUUGAGUAGUAACAAUAUCUUGAAAAUACUCUAAAAUUAUAGUACCCAGACCACUAUCCUU